RNAcentral lists this ribosomal RNA (410 nucleotides) under uncultured Streptococcus sp. RNAcentral's name for it is "bacterial SSU rRNA". It matches the Rfam family "Bacterial small subunit ribosomal RNA", at positions 969 to 1382 of the family's 1533-position model. Lineage: Bacteria; Bacillati; Bacillota; Bacilli; Lactobacillales; Streptococcaceae. The record is from RNAcentral.
CCUUACCAGGUCUUGACAUCCCGAUGCUAUUUCUAGAGAUAGAAAGUACUUCGGUACAUCGGUGACAGGUGGUGCAUGGUUGUCGUCAGCUCGUGUCGUGAGAUGUUGGGUUAAGUCCCGCAACGAGCGCAACCCCUAUUGUUAGUUGCCAUCAUUCAGUUGGGCACUCUAGCGAGACUGCCGGUAAUAAACCGGAGGAAGUGGGGAUGACGUCAAAUCAUCAUGCCCCUUAUGACCUGGGCUACACACGUGCUACAAUGGUUGGUACAACGAGUUGCGAGUCGGUGACGGCGAGCUAAUCUCUUAAAGCCAAUCUCAGUUCGGAUUGUAGGCUGCAACUCGCCUACAUGAAGUCGGAAUCGCUAGUAAUCGCGGAUCAGCACGCCGCGGUGAAUACGUUCCCGGGCCUU